This 419-nucleotide ribosomal RNA is filed under the name bacterium. Its description in RNAcentral is "partial 16S ribosomal RNA". It matches the Rfam family "Bacterial small subunit ribosomal RNA", at positions 355 to 776 of the family's 1533-position model. The record is from RNAcentral.
UGGGGGAUAUUGCACAAUGGGCGAAAGCCUGAUGCAGCGACGCCGCGUGGGGGAUGAAGGCCUUCGGGUUGUAAACUUCUUUUGCUCUGAACAAGGCGCACCAUGGGGUGUGUUGAGUGUAGGGGUUGAUUAGCGCCGGCUAACUACGUGCCAGCAGCCGCGGUAAUACGUAGGGCGCGAGCGUUGUCCGGAAUUAUUGGGCGUAAAGGGCUUGUAGGUGGCUGGUUGCGUCUGUCGUGAAAGCUCAUGGCUUAACUGUGGGUUUGCGGUGGGUACGGGCUGGCUUGGGUGCAGUAGGGGAGGCUGGAAUUCCUGGUGUAGCGGGGGAAUGCGCAGAUAUCAGGGGGAAUACCGGUGGCGAAGGCGGGUCUCUGGGCUGUUACUGACACUGAGGAGCGAAAGCAUGGGGAGCGAACAGG